Molecule: ribosomal RNA, 302 nt
Filed under: uncultured bacterium
Lineage: Bacteria
Description: partial 16S ribosomal RNA
Rfam family: Bacterial small subunit ribosomal RNA
Source: RNAcentral
GCAGCAGCCGCGGUAAUACAGAGGGUGCAAGCGUUAAUCGGAAUUACUGGGCGUAAAGCGCGCGUAGGUGGUUUGUUAAGUUGGAUGUGAAAUCCCCGGGCUCAACCUGGGAACUGCAUUCAAAACUGACUGACUAGAGUAUGGUAGAGGGUGGUGGAAUUUCCUGUGUAGCGGUGAAAUGCGUAGAUAUAGGAAGGAACACCAGUGGCGAAGGCGACCACCUGGACUAAUACUGACACUGAGGUGCGAAAGCGUGGGGAGCAAACCGGAUUAGAUACCCCGGUAGUCCCUGUCUCUUAUAA